ACAAAUUAAACCCUUUAACCCUAUUGAAUGAUUCUAUAAAAUAUAGGAACCCCAAUGCUAAAACUAGUAACAAGAAGUUGAGCUUCUCCAAAAUAUAAGCAUAAAUCAAAAUGGACUAGCCGUUGAUAAUUAACACCACUGACUCAAAUAUAGCAACCGAGCGAGAAAACCCUAUAAACCCGGAUGUUAAUCUUACACUAGCGUAUUUCUGGAAAGAUUAAAAAAAAGGGAAGGAACUCGGCAAAUCUUAGCCCCGCCUGUUUACCAAAAACACCGCCUCUUGAUCUUUAUAAGAGGUCCAGCCUGCCCAGUGACAUAGUUAAACGGCCGCGGUACCCUGACCGUGCGAAGGUAGCAUAAUCACUUGUUCUCUAAAUAAGGACUAGUAUCAACGGCAUCACGAGGGCUAUACUGUCUCCCCUUUUUAAUCAGUGAAACUGACUUUCCCGUGAAGAGGCGGGAAUAAGAAUACAAGACGAGAAGACCCCAUGGAGCUUUAAACCCAAUAACAACCUCUAUCUACUUCAACCACUAAAUUAAGAGGGACCUGUUUAUUGGUUUUAGGUUGGGGUGACCCCGGAGUAAAACUUAACCUCCAGGACGAAUGAAUUCCAUUCUAAUCCCAGAGCCACUGCUCUACGAAUCAAAAUUUUGACAUAGGCUGAUCCGCUAAGCGAUCAACGAACCAAGUUACCCUGGGGAUAACAGCGCAAUCCAUUUCAAGAGCCCCUAUCGACAAAUGGGUUUACGACCUCGAUGUUGGAUCAGGGUAUCCCAGUGGUGCAGCCGCUAC
RNAcentral lists this ribosomal RNA (793 nucleotides) under Limnonectes plicatellus (Penang wart frog). RNAcentral's name for it is "partial 16S ribosomal RNA". It matches the Rfam family "Bacterial large subunit ribosomal RNA", at positions 1312 to 2565 of the family's 2925-position model. The record is from RNAcentral. Lineage: Eukaryota; Metazoa; Chordata; Amphibia; Anura; Dicroglossidae.